RNAcentral lists this ribosomal RNA (244 nucleotides) under uncultured bacterium. RNAcentral's name for it is "partial 16S ribosomal RNA". It matches the Rfam family "Bacterial small subunit ribosomal RNA", at positions 15 to 239 of the family's 1533-position model. The record is from RNAcentral.
GAUCCUGGCUCAGGACGAACGCUGGCGGCGUGCCUAACACAUGCAAGUCGAACGAGAAUCUUUGAACAGAUCUUUUCGGAGUGACGUUCAAAGAGGAAAGUGGCGGACGGGCGAGUAACGCGUGAGUAACCUGCCCAUAAGACGGGGAGUAAUCCAUGGAAACGUGGACUAAUACCGCAUAUUGUAGUUAAGUUGCAUGACUUGAUUAUGAAAGAUUUAUCGCUUAUGGAUGGACUCGCGUCAG